GCACAACGCGAAGAACCUUACCUAGGCUUGACAUGCAUCUCUAAGCGCGUGAAAGCGUGUGACCCUUCGGGGAAUUUGCACAGGUGCUGCAUGGCUGUCGUCAGCUCGUGUCGUGAGAUGUUGGGUUAAGUCCCGCAACGAGCGCAACCCUCAUGUUCUGUUGCCCUUCGGGGAUCUCUGAACAGACUGCCCAGGUCAACUGGGAGGAAGGUGGGGAUGACGUCAAGUCCGUAUGGCCCUUACACCCAGGGCUGCACACGUACUACAAUGCCCAGCACAAAUGGAACCGACACCGCGAGGUGAAGGAAAUCGAAAAAACUGGGCUCAGUUCGGAUCGUAGGCUGCAAUUCGCCUACGUGAAGUUGGAAUCGCUAGUAAUGGCGCAUCAGCUACGGCGCCGUGAAUACGUUCCCGGGUCUUGUACACACCG
This 430-nucleotide ribosomal RNA is filed under the name uncultured bacterium. RNAcentral's name for it is "bacterial SSU rRNA". It matches the Rfam family "Bacterial small subunit ribosomal RNA", at positions 954 to 1392 of the family's 1533-position model. The record is from RNAcentral.